RNAcentral lists this long non-coding RNA (1495 nucleotides) under Cyanistes caeruleus (blue tit). RNAcentral describes it as "lncRNA (ENSCCEG00000016472.1)". The record is from RNAcentral. Lineage: Eukaryota; Metazoa; Chordata; Aves; Passeriformes; Paridae.
CCACAUACUUGUGACUAUGCCCUCGUGUACUGUAAUUCACUUUACACUGACUAUAUGUCCUACUCAUCUAAUUCCCUCCUUUCCCCACUGUUCUGCAGAAGCAAUCCUGGCCAUUGAGAAAUGACAACUUUACCUUCAAGGGAAAAAAAAAACCAAAAACACAGCACUUGCUUUAGUUCCAAACUUCCUUACAGAAAUAUGCAGGCUUACUGGUUUUAGGAGUCAGCAGGGUUCAUGCUUUUGAGUUCCUCUCUGCAACCAUGACAACAGAAAGUUUAUUUCAAAUGAAAGCAAGAGAGAAAUUCAAGACUUUGCAUUGACAAAAACACCAAAGUGAAAUUUACUAUGAGAAUCAGACUGAAGUGUUGCAGAUUUGAACCUCAGAGAGAAAUCAGAGCCCUUCAAAAUACGAAAGCUGAACCAUCACCACCACAAUAAGUGAAGGCUCUUAGCCAACAACAAAUAAAAGGUAAUGCAACUGAAUCCUUAUUGCAAUCUAAAAUAAACUGAUUUACUAAAUAGUUGGUAUUCAUGUAUAUGGACAGCUACCUGACUGAACAUUUACCAGCUUGAUCACAUGUUCAAACUUUUCCACAGAAACUUGUAAGGAUCAGCAUGGCCAGAAAUACUACACACAAGCAAAAUGUUUAGAUACUGUAGCCCCUCUGGAAAACUGAAGUUCAGAUAGGGUAACACACUGACCUGAAUCACAGAAUUUUCAGUUCAAUGUCAACACCUAAAUGGUUCUAUGACAGCUAAACCUUCCUUUUGAAAUACAGUUAAUAUCUUCCUGUGUGAAGAAUUGCUACAGGACAAGCAUUUCUUCAUCUCAGCAGCAACUGUUCCUUAAAACUGUUAAGUCCACAGGCUCAACCGCAUAAAAUUCUCUAUCUUCUGUUUCUAGCAUUGAGUAAGAAAAUGCCAGCUCAUAAGGCUGAGAUGCUGCUUUCCAAUCUCAGCUCCUGAGUCAAGCUCUCAUACACCAGGUACCUCAAUCCAGCUCAGAGGAAAUGGCUUAACUCCCUCCCAAUCAAACCUUUCUCUUAACAAAGAAGCUGGAGUCAAGUUUCCUGCAGGACUUCUGCCUGCUUCUGGAGCUUCUCCACGCCACAGGAAAAAUUUUCAGCUUUCACAAAACUACAAACACCACAAAGAAAGAUUUAAAACACCAACAGUACCAAGGACUAUUUGCUUUUGACAUCUUAUAGAUUCUCCUCCCCAAACAUAUUCAUUUCACCAAGACCCCUCCAAUUUUCAUACAGACACAUACAUAAUACCAAGACUAAACCUACUAUUUUUUUCUGAUCAUCUGUUCUGACUUCUGUUCACCUGUUCACAAAGCAGCAGAUAUCAUAAACAAGCAUGGUUUGCAUUGCAGUUUUCCUUUAAACAAAGAUUUCAGGAGACAGUUCAUGAAACCUAUCUCUGUAGAAGAUUUUUUUUCAUGAAAGUGGGAAAAAAUAAACAAAAUAAUAAAGAUACUGUCCUUAAAACA